Molecule: ribosomal RNA, 254 nt
Filed under: uncultured bacterium
Lineage: Bacteria
Description: partial 16S ribosomal RNA
Rfam family: Bacterial small subunit ribosomal RNA
Source: RNAcentral
UACGUAGGGGGCAAGCGUUGUCCGGAAUUACUGGGCGUAAAGGGAGCGUAGGCGGUCUUUUAAGUUAGAUGUGAAAUACCCGAGCUCAACUUGGGAAGGUGCAUCUAAAACUGGGGGACUUGAGUGCAGGAGAGGAAAGUGGAAUUCCUAGUGUAGCGGUGAAAUGCGUAGAUAUUAGGAGGAACACCAGUGGCGAAGGCGACUUUCUGGACUGUAACUGACGCUGAGGCUCGAAAGCGUGGGGAGCAAACAGG